UGCAAGUCGAACGGUGAAGCCCAGCUUGCUGGGUGGAUCAGUGGCGAACGGGUGAGUAACACGUGAGCAACCUGCCCCUGACUCUGGGAUAAGCGCUGGAAACGGCGUCUAAUACUGGAUACGAACCACGAAGGCAUCUUCAGUGGUUGGAAAGAUUUAUUGGUUGGGGAUGGGCUCGCGGCCUAUCAGCUUGUUGGUGAGGUAAUGGCUCACCAAGGCGUCGACGGGUAGCCGGCCUGAGAGGGUGACCGGCCACACUGGGACUGAGACACGGCCCAGACUCCUACGGGAGGCAGCAGUGGGGAAUAUUGCACAAUGGGCGCAAGCCUGAUGCAGCAACGCCGCGUGAGGGAUGACGGCCUUCGGGUUGUAAACCUCUUUUAGCAGGGAAGAAGCGAAAGUGACGGUACCUGCAGAAAAAGCGCCGGCUAACUACGUGCCAGCAGCCGCGGUAAUACGUAGGGCGCAAGCGUUAUCCGGAAUUAUUGGGCGUAAAGAGCUCGUAGGCGGUUUGUCGCGUCUGCUGUGAAAUCCGGAGGCUCAACCUCCGGCCUGCAGUGGGUACGGGCAGACUAGAGUGCGGUAGGGGAGAUUGGAAUUCCUGGUGUAGCGGUGGAAUGCGCAGAUAUCAGGAGGAACACCGAUGGCGAAGGCAGA
This 657-nucleotide ribosomal RNA is filed under the name Microbacterium sp. LL67. Its description in RNAcentral is "bacterial SSU rRNA". It matches the Rfam family "Bacterial small subunit ribosomal RNA", at positions 56 to 725 of the family's 1533-position model. Lineage: Bacteria; Bacillati; Actinomycetota; Actinomycetes; Micrococcales; Microbacteriaceae. The record is from RNAcentral.